This 934-nucleotide long non-coding RNA is filed under the name Lynx pardinus (Iberian lynx). The record is from RNAcentral. Lineage: Eukaryota; Metazoa; Chordata; Mammalia; Carnivora; Felidae.
GGGUGCAAGACCUGCCGUGUGGGGACCCUGGGGCGUGUCAGGGACCCAGGUCUGCACGGGCCCCUGUCUUCUGCAGGCAGUAAGUUCUGCCCCAUUUUGAUCCGGCUUGUCACUCAGAGAUGGAACAGGUAAGCCUUAAACCAAGGAGGAAGGGUGGGGGUGGGGGGUUCAAUGUCAGUCCUAGCUGUGAAACUUUAGGCGUCUUAUGGAGCCACGUUGAGCCUCAGUUUCCUCAUUUGUGACCAGGGACUAAUACACCCCACCUGCCUCACCUGGCCACCUGGGCAUCCGAUGAGACGGAUGUUCAUUCUAUACGACCGACCCCGGGCAGACAGAAGAGUUGUUAGUUCAGGCUGAGGGGCAGAGCAGGUGUUACGAGUCGAUGACAAAUGGGUUGUGCCACUGUUGAGUGCUAAGAGCUCCCAGAGCCCCCUUUGAAGGAUGAGGGGUCCCACUUUUGGAAGCCUGCUCUGUGCCAGGCACUCGGGGCAGGGGGGGCAGGCGGUGAGGCUGGUACACCCUCUCCCCAUAGACCCUCACCGUCUAAAGUGGGAGAUGAGGCAGGUAAUGACAAAGGGCUGAUUUCUGUAGCAUGUAAAGUGUUACCACAAAUCAAUACAAGGAUGAAUGGCCCGGUUGAAAAAUGAGGAAAAAAUACGGAAAAGUAAUUCAUAAAAGACUGGCUGAUAAACACUUGGGGGGGAAAAUCAACGUUACUAGUAACAAAAAUGAAAAAGGCAACAAUGAGAUUUUCUUUUUUUUCCUCCCGUUAGAUUAUCAAAAGAUUAGAAAUGUUUCUCGGGAUGCCUGGGUGGCUCAGUCGGUUAAGCGUCUGACUUCGGCGCCGGUCAUGAUCUCACCAUUCAUGGGUCCGAGCCCCGCACGGGGCUCUCUGCUGUCAGUGCAGAAUCUGCUCGGGAUCCUCUGUCUCCCC